Trifolium pratense (red clover) is the source of this 654-nucleotide long non-coding RNA. RefSeq lists it as uncharacterized. The record is from RefSeq and is a predicted model, not a curated record. NCBI's taxonomy places the organism in Eukaryota, Viridiplantae, Streptophyta, Magnoliopsida, Fabales, Fabaceae. The transcript has 4 exons.
CAACUCAAACCCUUUAUCUAAGAUAUCUCCACCAUGACAAAUAUUCUUUUUCCGAAAUUGGAUCCCCUCCUACCUUUUUUGUCCUCCCUCCUUUAGAAAAAAAAAAUAGAUGAAUAACCCAGAUCAGAACAUAAUAGACAGUAUGAGAAAAAGAACUGGAGAGAAUCCAGAUCCAUAAUUUUCAUAUUUCUAACAUCUCGAAAUUAUUACAUAGGUUUUCUUUACAUAAAUCUCACAUCUAGCCACCAAUAUUGCGAGAGUUUGAGGUAACAAGCAAGUAUACCUCAUUGAGCAAUAGUCUCUCAACAGAGAUUUUCUCUGCUGAUGGAGGAGAAGAUGAGGUCACCAACAAGGAGGAGUCAUUACCAAAUGAUUUUGCCAAAGAAAGAAUCAUUGCUUAUGAAGAUGUUGCACCUAAAACAGGAGUGGAGUCCAAAGGCGAGUCAUCUUGUGGGGAUGGAAAUGGAAAGGCAAAAUGGGCAGAUCAUACUUUUGAUUUAAAUGAGCCUCCUCGGGAUGAAGAUGCUAAUGAGAUUUAAAUUUCCAUUAAUAUAUUUUUCUAGACCAUGUGGUAAGAGACAAUUAUAUUAACAUAUUUUCUUCGGAAGUGUAAACUUAAUUAUCAUCUCUUAAAGUACAUUUUGAGUUGUGUUA